Molecule: ribosomal RNA, 253 nt
Filed under: uncultured bacterium
Lineage: Bacteria
Description: partial 16S ribosomal RNA
Rfam family: Bacterial small subunit ribosomal RNA
Source: RNAcentral
GACGAACCGGACAAACGUUAUUCGGAAUUACUGGGCUUAAAGAGUUCGUAGGCGGCCGGGAAGGUGAGGUGUGAAAUCCCACGGCUCAACCGUGGAAUGGCGCUUCAAACCACUCGGCUUGAGGAAGGUAGGGGUGAGCGGAACUGAUGGUGGAGCGGUGAAAUGUGUUGAUAUCAUCAGGAACACCGGUGGCGAAGGCGGCUCACUGGACCUUUUCUGACGCUGAGGAACGAAAGCCAGGGUAGCAAACGGG